This 2358-nucleotide ribosomal RNA is filed under the name Escherichia coli. Its description in RNAcentral is "partial 23S ribosomal RNA". It matches the Rfam family "Bacterial large subunit ribosomal RNA", at positions 254 to 2636 of the family's 2925-position model. Lineage: Bacteria; Pseudomonadati; Pseudomonadota; Gammaproteobacteria; Enterobacterales; Enterobacteriaceae. The record is from RNAcentral.
CGAACGGGGAGCAGCCCAGAGCCUGAAUCAGUGUGUGUGUUAGUGGAAGCGUCUGGAAAGGCGCGCGAUACAGGGUGACAGCCCCGUACACAAAAAUGCACAUGCUGUGAGCUCGAUGAGUAGGGCGGGACACGUGGUAUCCUGUCUGAAUAUGGGGGGACCAUCCUCCAAGGCUAAAUACUCCUGACUGACCGAUAGUGAACCAGUACCGUGAGGGAAAGGCGAAAAGAACCCCGGCGAGGGGAGUGAAAAAGAACCUGAAACCGUGUACGUACAAGCAGUGGGAGCACGCUUAGGCGUGUGACUGCGUACCUUUUGUAUAAUGGGUCAGCGACUUAUAUUCUGUAGCAAGGUUAACCGAAUAGGGGAGCCGAAGGGAAACCGAGUCUUAACUGGGCGUUAAGUUGCAGGGUAUAGACCCGAAACCCGGUGAUCUAGCCAUGGGCAGGUUGAAGGUUGGGUAACACUAACUGGAGGACCGAACCGACUAAUGUUGAAAAAUUAGCGGAUGACUUGUGGCUGGGGGUGAAAGGCCAAUCAAACCGGGAGAUAGCUGGUUCUCCCCGAAAGCUAUUUAGGUAGCGCCUCGUGAAUUCAUCUCCGGGGGUAGAGCACUGUUUCGGCAAGGGGGUCAUCCCGACUUACCAACCCGAUGCAAACUGCGAAUACCGGAGAAUGUUAUCACGGGAGACACACGGCGGGUGCUAACGUCCGUCGUGAAGAGGGAAACAACCCAGACCGCCAGCUAAGGUCCCAAAGUCAUGGUUAAGUGGGAAACGAUGUGGGAAGGCCCAGACAGCCAGGAUGUUGGCUUAGAAGCAGCCAUCAUUUAAAGAAAGCGUAAUAGCUCACUGGUCGAGUCGGCCUGCGCGGAAGAUGUAACGGGGCUAAACCAUGCACCGAAGCUGCGGCAGCGACGCUUAUGCGUUGUUGGGUAGGGGAGCGUUCUGUAAGCCUGCGAAGGUGUGCUGUGAGGCAUGCUGGAGGUAUCAGAAGUGCGAAUGCUGACAUAAGUAACGAUAAAGCGGGUGAAAAGCCCGCUCGCCGGAAGACCAAGGGUUCCUGUCCAACGUUAAUCGGGGCAGGGUGAGUCGACCCCUAAGGCGAGGCCGAAAGGCGUAGUCGAUGGGAAACAGGUUAAUAUUCCUGUACUUGGUGUUACUGCGAAGGGGGGACGGAGAAGGCUAUGUUGGCCGGGCGACGGUUGUCCCGGUUUAAGCGUGUAGGCUGGUUUUCCAGGCAAAUCCGGAAAAUCAAGGCUGAGGCGUGAUGACGAGGCACUACGGUGCUGAAGCAACAAAUGCCCUGCUUCCAGGAAAAGCCUCUAAGCAUCAGGUAACAUCAAAUCGUACCCCAAACCGACACAGGUGGUCAGGUAGAGAAUACCAAGGCGCUUGAGAGAACUCGGGUGAAGGAACUAGGCAAAAUGGUGCCGUAACUUCGGGAGAAGGCACGCUGAUAUGUAGGUGAAGCGACUUGCUCGUGGAGCUGAAAUCAGUCGAAGAUACCAGCUGGCUGCAACUGUUUAUUAAAAACACAGCACUGUGCAAACACGAAAGUGGACGUAUACGGUGUGACGCCUGCCCGGUGCCGGAAGGUUAAUUGAUGGGGUUAGCGCAAGCGAAGCUCUUGAUCGAAGCCCCGGUAAACGGCGGCCGUAACUAUAACGGUCCUAAGGUAGCGAAAUUCCUUGUCGGGUAAGUUCCGACCUGCACGAAUGGCGUAAUGAUGGCCAGGCUGUCUCCACCCGAGACUCAGUGAAAUUGAACUCGCUGUGAAGAUGCAGUGUACCCGCGGCAAGACGGAAAGACCCCGUGAACCUUUACUAUAGCUUGACACUGAACAUUGAGCCUUGAUGUGUAGGAUAGGUGGGAGGCUUUGAAGUGUGGACGCCAGUCUGCAUGGAGCCGACCUUGAAAUACCACCCUUUAAUGUUUGAUGUUCUAACGUGGACCCGUAAUCCGGGUUGCGGACAGUGUCUGGUGGGUAGUUUGACUGGGGCGGUCUCCUCCUAAAGAGUAACGGAGGAGCACGAAGGUUGGCUAAUCCUGGUCGGACAUCAGGAGGUUAGUGCAAUGGCAUAAGCCAGCUUGACUGCGAGCGUGACGGCGCGAGCAGGUGCGAAAGCAGGUCAUAGUGAUCCGGUGGUUCUGAAUGGAAGGGCCAUCGCUCAACGGAUAAAAGGUACUCCGGGGAUAACAGGCUGAUACCGCCCAAGAGUUCAUAUCGACGGCGGUGUUUGGCACCUCGAUGUCGGCUCAUCACAUCCUGGGGCUGAAGUAGGUCCCAAGGGUAUGGCUGUUCGCCAUUUAAAGUGGUACGCGAGCUGGGUUUAGAACGUCGUGAGACAGUUCGGUC